Molecule: transfer RNA, 76 nt
Filed under: marine sediment metagenome
Description: tRNA-His
Rfam family: tRNA
About the family: Transfer RNA (tRNA) molecules are approximately 80 nucleotides in length. Their secondary structure includes four short double-helical elements and three loops (D, anti-codon, and T loops). Further hydrogen bonds mediate the characteristic L-shaped molecular structure. tRNAs have two regions of fundamental functional importance: the anti-codon, which is responsible for specific mRNA codon recognition, and the 3' end, to which the tRNAs corresponding amino acid is attached (by aminoacyl-tRNA synthetases). tRNAs cope with the degeneracy of the genetic code in two manners: having more than one tRNA (with a specific anti-codon) for a particular amino acid; and 'wobble' base-pairing, i.e. permitting non-standard base-pairing at the 3rd anti-codon position.
Source: RNAcentral
GUGUCGGUAGCGAUUAGUGGUAGAUCGGCUCGCUGUGACCGAGCAGGCGGUGGUUCGAUUCCACCCCGACACUCCA